GAAAAGGAAAAAGAAUAAAGAGGAGAAGACACAUAGAUGCACACAGAGGGAGAAAGCCACGUGAAGAUGGAGGCAGAGGCGGGGGAUGCGCGUCUACAAGCCCAGGAAUGCUAUGAAACACCAGAAGCCGCCAGAAGCAGGAAGGGGGAGGAAGGAUUCUCUCUGGAACCUUCAGAGGGAGCAUGACCCAGCUGAAGCCUUGAUUCUGGACUCGCGGCCUCCGGAACCCUGCUGGGCUAAAAAAAAAAGGCAGACAGGGAGAGAGAUAAAGGAGGCUGCUCGAGAUUGCCAAUGAGUUAAGAUUCCUAGAAGAAAAAAGGAACAAGAA
Molecule: long non-coding RNA, 328 nt
Organism: Lemur catta (Ring-tailed lemur)
Lineage: Eukaryota; Metazoa; Chordata; Mammalia; Primates; Lemuridae
Exons: 3
Source: RefSeq, a predicted model, not a curated record